RNAcentral lists this ribosomal RNA (24 nucleotides) under Thaxterogaster sp. H6564. RNAcentral describes it as "partial 28S ribosomal RNA". Lineage: Eukaryota; Fungi; Basidiomycota; Agaricomycetes; Agaricales; Cortinariaceae. The record is from RNAcentral.
CAGGUAGGACUACCCGCUGGAUAA